CGAAAGUUAGAGGUUCGAAGGCGAUCAGAUACCGCCCUAGUUCUAACCAUAAACGAUGCCAACUAGCGAUCCGCCUGAGUUCCUCAAAUGACUCGGCGGGCAGCUUCCGGGAAACCAAAGUGUUUGGGUUCCGGGGGAAGUAUGGUUGCAAAGCUGAAACUUAAAGGAAUUGACGGAAGGGCACCACCAGGAGUGGAGCCUGCGGCUUAAUUUGACUCAACACGGGAAAACUUACCCGGCCCGGACACUGGAAGGAUUGACAGAUUAAGAGCUCUUUCUUGAUUCAGUGGGUGGUGGUGCAUGGCCGUUCUUAGUUGGUGGAGCGAUUUGUCUGGUUAAUUCCGAUAACGAACGAGACUCUAGCCUACUAAAUAGGCGUUCCGAUCCUUUAUGUCGGACGUUCUUCUUAGAGGGACAAGCGGCUUUUAGCCGCACGAGACAGAGCAAUAACAGGUCUGUGAUGCCCUUAGAUGUCCGGGGCCGCACGCGCGCUACACUGAAGGAAUCAGCGUGUGCUUUCCCUGUCUGGUAGGACUGGGUAACCCGUUAAACCUCCUUCGUGAUAGGGAUAGGGAUUUGUAAUUGUUCCCUUGAACGAGGAAUUCCCAGUAAGCACGAGUCAUAAGCUCGUGUUGAUUACGUCCCUGCCCUUUGUACACACCGCCCGUCGCUACUACCGAU
This 681-nucleotide ribosomal RNA is filed under the name Parachtes limbarae. RNAcentral's name for it is "SSU rRNA". It matches the Rfam family "Eukaryotic small subunit ribosomal RNA", at positions 984 to 1689 of the family's 1831-position model. Lineage: Eukaryota; Metazoa; Arthropoda; Arachnida; Araneae; Dysderidae. The record is from RNAcentral.